AUGUUGAGGGAAAAUCAGUUAAGUGCUAAACUCUCCAAGUGUGUGUUUGCUGUGCAACAAGUGGAAUAUCUUGGUCAUGUACUAUCAGCUGAAGCAGUAGCCACUUAUCCCAAAAAGAUACAAGCUAUUGCUGAUUGGCCCUUUCCUGAUAAUGUAACUCAACUAAGAAGUUUCCCAGGAUUAGCAGGUUAUUACAGAAGAUUCAUCAUGGGAUAUGGCAUUAUUUGUAGACCCUUGCAUGAUCUUCUGAAGAAAGGACAGUUUAAACAGACAAGAACUGAUGCUUCUGGUAAAGGUAUUGGAGCAGUAUUGAUGCAACAGGGGAGACCUCUAGCAUACUAUAGUUCAGCACUAUGCCCAAGAAAUGCAUCUCUGUCUACAUAUGAAAAAGAAGCUUUAGCCAUUUUGGAAGCUUUUUAA
RNAcentral lists this ribosomal RNA (420 nucleotides) under Triticum aestivum (bread wheat). RNAcentral's name for it is "partial small subunit ribosomal RNA". Lineage: Eukaryota; Viridiplantae; Streptophyta; Magnoliopsida; Poales; Poaceae. The record is from RNAcentral.